AGUCACUGACAUUAGAUACCCCUGUAGUCCAGGGUGUAAACGCUGCAGACUUGGUGUUGGAAGCCCUUUGGGGGCAUUCAGUGCCGGAGAGAAGUUGUUAAGUCUGCUACUUGGGGGGUACGUCCGCAAGGAUGAAACUUAAAGGAAUUGGCGGGGGAGCACCACAACGGGAGGAGCGUGCGGUUUAAUUGGAUUCAACACCGUAAAACUCACCAGGGAAGACUGUUACAUGAAGGCCGAGAUGAAGACUCUGCUAGAUUUUCAG
RNAcentral lists this ribosomal RNA (265 nucleotides) under uncultured archaeon. RNAcentral's name for it is "partial 16S ribosomal RNA". It matches the Rfam family "Archaeal small subunit ribosomal RNA", at positions 718 to 982 of the family's 1478-position model. The record is from RNAcentral.